This 497-nucleotide ribosomal RNA is filed under the name uncultured bacterium. RNAcentral describes it as "partial 16S ribosomal RNA". It matches the Rfam family "Bacterial small subunit ribosomal RNA", at positions 28 to 507 of the family's 1533-position model. The record is from RNAcentral.
GAUGAACGCUGGCGGCGUGCCUAAUACAUGCAAGUCGAGCGAACGGACGAGAAGCUUGCUUCUCUGAUGUUAGCGGCGGACGGGUGAGUAACACGUGGAUAACCUACCUAUAAGACUGGGAUAACUUCGGGAAACCGUAGCUAAUACCGGAUAAUAUUUUGAACCGCAUGGUUCAAAAGUGAAAGACGGUCUUGCUGUCACUUAUAGAUGGAUCCGCGCUGCAUUAGCUAGUUGGUAAGGUAACGGCUUACCAAGGCAACGAUGCAUAGCCGACCUGAGAGGGUGAUCGGCCACACUGGAACUGAGACACGGUCCAGACUCCUACGGGAGGGAGCAGUAGGGAAUCUUCCGGAAUGGGCGAAAGCCUGACGGAGCAACGCCGCGUGAGUGAUGAAGGUCUUCGGAUCGUAAAACUCUGUUAUUAGGGAAGAACAUAUGUGUAAGUAACUGUGCACAUCUUGACGGUACCUAAUCAGAAAGCCACGGCUAACUACGUG